AACAGACGGGCUGGGAGCAGACUGGCUGGAAAGUAGGUCAGCCAAAAAGCACCUGGGGGUCUGCUGCACACCAGUUUGAGGGAGUCUCUGAUAGAAUGUACAAUGUUCUGCAGAAAUAUUAAUAUAAGGUAUGUUUGUGAUAGACUGGCUAUAGAAGACAGUGGUAUGUUUAACAGCAUUGUCACACUUUAGGGGCAGCUUUUGAUUGUGAACUGCAUUUGGAAAGGCCCUACCCUACUGUGAAAUGUGCCCGAGGACCAGGAGGGUCAGCAUGGUCUCAUUGCAGGCUGGAACCUACUCCAACCUGACAGAGAAUGCUCCUCAGCUCCAUUCCACCCACUGCCAGGAGCUCUGCUGAGUUCCCUUUUGAGCUGAAGGCAAAGGCACCCCCUGUCAGGCAUGAAGUUAAGUACAUGCACAACACAGAACCAGCCCCAAGGCUCACAUACCUGUUCCACUGAGUGCAGAUAUGCUAGUGGCUUGGAUUUUCAAAUUAAAAUUCCAAAUCUACCAUCCAAGAUUGCUUGAGACAAAAUGCUUAUAAGUUUUACCAGCUGAGAUUUGCUUGGGGACAUUUUUUUUCAUAACAUGGGAUGUGCUUCCAUUCACUUCUGAAUAAAUACAUGUCAGACAAGUCAAGAACACACUCACUCAUGGAUAUAAUUUUUUUUAUGCUGUUUGUUUGUUCAACUCCACUGGAACUCUUAACCUGAA
This is a long non-coding RNA of Motacilla alba alba, 714 nucleotides long. RefSeq lists it as uncharacterized. The transcript is spliced from 3 exons. Lineage: Eukaryota; Metazoa; Chordata; Aves; Passeriformes; Motacillidae. The record is from RefSeq and is a predicted model, not a curated record.